AUUGAACGCUGGCGGCAUGCCUUACACAUGCAAGUCGAACGGUAACGGGUCCUUCGGGAUGCCGACGAGUGGCGAACGGGUGAGUAAUAUAUCGGAACGUGCCCAGUAGUGGGGGAUAACUGCUCGAAAGAGCAGCUAAUACCGCAUACGACCUGAGGGUGAAAGAGGGGGAUCGCAAGACCUCUCGCUAUUGGAGCGGCCGAUAUCAGAUUAGCUAGUUGGUGGGGUAAAGGCCUACCAAGGCAACGAUCUGUAGUUGGUCUGAGAGGACGACCAGCCACACUGGGACUGAGACACGGCCCAGACUCCUACGGGAGGCAGCAGUGGGGAAUUUCGGACAAUGGGCGCAAGCCUGAUCCAGCAAUGCCGCGUGCAGGAAGAAGGCCUUCGGGUUGUAAACUGCUUUUGUCAGGGAAGAAAUCUUCUGGGCUAAUACCCCGGGAGGAUGACGGUACCUGAAGAAUAAGCACCGGCUAACUACGUGCCAGCCGCCGCAGUAA
RNAcentral lists this ribosomal RNA (500 nucleotides) under uncultured bacterium. RNAcentral describes it as "partial 16S ribosomal RNA". It matches the Rfam family "Bacterial small subunit ribosomal RNA", at positions 30 to 523 of the family's 1533-position model. The record is from RNAcentral.